CAGGUGAGCCUGCGGUUUAAUCGGACUCAACGCCGGGAAACUCACCAGAUAAGACAGCUGAAUGAUAGUCGGGCUGAAGACUCUACUUGACUAGCUGAGAGGAGGUGCAUGGCCGUCGUCAGUUCGUACUGUGAAGCAUCCUGUUAAGUCAGGCAACGAGCGAGACCCACGCCAACAGUUGCCAGCAUGUCCUCCGGGAUGAUGGGGACACUGUUGGGACCGCCUCUGCUAAAGAGGAGGAAGGAAUGGGCAACGGUAGGUCAGCAUGCCCCGAAUUAUCUGGGCUACACGCGGGCUACAAUGGUCAGGACAAUGGGUAUCGACACCGAGAGGUGGAGGCAAUCUCCUAAACCUGUCCUUAGUUCGGAUUGUGGGCUGCAACUCGCCCACAUGAAGCUGGAAUCCGUAGUAAUCGCGUUUCAAAAUAGCGCGGUGAAUAUGUCCCUGCUCCUU
This 453-nucleotide ribosomal RNA is filed under the name uncultured Methanolinea sp. Its description in RNAcentral is "bacterial SSU rRNA". It matches the Rfam family "Archaeal small subunit ribosomal RNA", at positions 885 to 1338 of the family's 1478-position model. The record is from RNAcentral. Lineage: Archaea; Methanobacteriati; Methanobacteriota; Methanomicrobia; Methanomicrobiales; Methanoregulaceae.